This 253-nucleotide ribosomal RNA is filed under the name uncultured prokaryote. RNAcentral's name for it is "partial 16S ribosomal RNA". It matches the Rfam family "Bacterial small subunit ribosomal RNA", at positions 525 to 777 of the family's 1533-position model. The record is from RNAcentral.
ACAGAGGGGGCAAGCGUUGUUCGGAUUUACUGGGCGUAAAGAGCGCGCAGGCGGUCGUUCAAGUCGAGUGUGAAAGCCCCCGGCUCAACUGGGGAGGGUCACUCGAUACUGAUCGACUCGAAGGCAGGAGAGGGAAGUGGAAUUCCCGGUGUAGUGGUGAAAUGCGUAGAUAUCGGGAGGAACACCGGUGGCGAAGGCGGCAUCCUGGACCAACUCUGACACUGAGGAGCGAAAGCCAGGGGAGCAAACGGGA